CUAAUACUCCCUCCGUCCGGAAAUAAUUGUCAUCAAAAUGCUAAAAGAUGGUGUAUCUAGACGUAUUUUAGUUUUAGAUACAUCAUUUUUUAUCCAUUUUGAUGACAAGUAUUUUCGGACGGAGGGAGUACUUU
Non-coding RNA from Triticum aestivum (bread wheat), 134 nucleotides. The record is from Rfam. NCBI's taxonomy places the organism in Eukaryota, Viridiplantae, Streptophyta, Magnoliopsida, Poales, Poaceae.